GGUCAACGGUAGUCACGCAGUCAAUACGCGACCCGGAAUACCAUAGUUGCACGCUGGCUAAUGCACAUUCUUGGAACGACACUACGGAAUCACGUUAGGCUAGCUUUGCACAGGAAUGUCAAGGUUACUUUUCAAAGAUAUGGCACGGUUGGAAUGGGAGAACCCAUGGGAAUUUGAGUACUUAGCGGCGUUCAUUGUUUAGAAGUCUUAGCUUUUUGCUUC
RNAcentral lists this long non-coding RNA (222 nucleotides) under Helianthus annuus (common sunflower). RNAcentral describes it as "hypothetical non coding rna". The record is from RNAcentral. Lineage: Eukaryota; Viridiplantae; Streptophyta; Magnoliopsida; Asterales; Asteraceae.